CCCUUAGAUGUUCUGGGCCGCACACGCGCUACACUGGCAGGUUCAUCGAGCUUCAUGCCCUGAUCUGAGAAGAACGGGAAAUCUUUGAACACCUGCCGUGCUUGGGAUAGAUGUUUGCAAUUAUUCAUCUUCAACGAGGAUUGCCUUGUAAGCGCACGUCAUCAGCGUGCAUUGAAUACGACCCUGUAUUCUGUACACACCGCCCGUCGCUCCUACCGAUUGAAGUUUUCGGUGAAUUUACUGGAGAUCCCUUUUGAAGGUGGUUCGCCACUGAAAGAAGUAUUCAAAAGUAAAUGAAUCGAAUGCUUUAGAGGAAGGAGAAGUCGUAACA
This 331-nucleotide ribosomal RNA is filed under the name uncultured eukaryote. RNAcentral describes it as "partial 18S ribosomal RNA". It matches the Rfam family "Eukaryotic small subunit ribosomal RNA", at positions 1470 to 1796 of the family's 1831-position model. The record is from RNAcentral.